Non-coding RNA from Arachis ipaensis, 136 nucleotides. Lineage: Eukaryota; Viridiplantae; Streptophyta; Magnoliopsida; Fabales; Fabaceae. The record is from RefSeq and is a predicted model, not a curated record.
AGUUCAGGCAAUGAAAUAAAUAUAUUUAUAUAGAGAUUGAAAGGAAAGUUUUGAUAGACAAGAAGUUAUUCCAGCUGCAUCUGAACUUAAGCCUGAUGAAUGGUGGAGGUUAUUCGGAGGCUCUGCUCCAUGUCUA